Molecule: long non-coding RNA, 1192 nt
Organism: Cydia fagiglandana
Lineage: Eukaryota; Metazoa; Arthropoda; Insecta; Lepidoptera; Tortricidae
Exons: 3
Source: RefSeq, a predicted model, not a curated record
GAGUAGAUAUGGAACUAAUUUUUUUUUGCUCUUACAACACUGUUUAAUAUGUCAGUUGUUAGUAUCUAUGUUGUCAACAGUGUUAGUUUAUUUUCGUAUUUAUUGUAUUGUUUAAAUUUAUCGUCAGUAAACUGUUGUUAUUGUGGCAAAUGAUGAACAGGACGAUCCGAAGUGGCACCCGCCAGGUUAUUUAUAACGUUUACAGGCGGUGUCUGGCAGAAUUUGAAGCCAAAACCUUGUUGUCGGAACUGGACAAUGUUUACCAAAGAACGGCUGAGAUGACAGGUAAACUACUGUAAGGAGAAUUGUAUUAGAAGAUGACCUUAACAAUGCUGUGUUUGCAACGCCUGGAAAACGCCGGAAGGGGCGUCCAAAAAAGGAACUGGACAAUUUCGACCUGUGUGCCAUUAGGCAAAAGGUUCAAUUUUUUUACACGGUGAAAAAACAGGUGCCAACUCUAAGAAGUCUGCUUCCGAUAGUGAAAGAAGACCUGGGCUUUGAUGGUAGCCGGGAACACCUGAGAAUAGUACUUCAUGCUCUUCGGUUCAAUCUUGCUGCAUCACUAUAACGCCUCUUCACAUACGUCCCUCAGAACAAAGGCGUUUAUUGAGAAAGCUGGGAUAGAAACCUUACCACAUCCACCCUACAGUCCUGACUUAGCUCCCUGCGAUUUCUUUUUGUAUCCGGUGGUGAAAGAAAAAAUAACAGGGAAGUUUUUUCAAGUGCUGAGGAAGCCGUGGCUGCAUAUAAAGAAGCAAUUUCGGACCUAUCUGAUGAAGACUGGCAAAAGUGCUUCCAAAGUUGGUUCAGACGAAUGGAACUUUGUAUAGAGAGUAAUGGAGAGUAUUUUGAAAAAAUGUAAAAUAAAUAAUACUAAUAUCUUCAAUAGCUUUUUUUAUGUCAAAAUUUAUUGAGUGACUUACGUAAAUGAUCAUAUUAGAUUGAUAACUGUUAGAUAUAAUUUGUGGUUACUUAUUUUUAAAAUGUGUUUUUCAAUUAAAAGACGCAUCAAUAUUGUUUACCUUAUUUCUAAUGCUAACAAAAACGAACAUUACAAAAACUCAAAAUUUGUAUUUCCAGUACCUACCUGCUGAUGAGAGUGGAGUCCACUUUCUUGACUUACCUAUAUUAUCCAAAAUCGGUUCCGACGUUGUCAAAUAUGGGGUGUGUGCAAAUUUGGCAUUCGAAUAAC